AGUUCGAUCCUGGCUCAGAUUGAACGCUGGCGGGAUGCUUUACAUGCAGUCAGGCGGCAGCACGGACUUCGGUCUGGUGGCGAGUGGCGAACGGGUGAGUAAUGUAUCGGAACGUGCCUAAAUAGCGGGGGAUAACUACGCGGCAAUACGUAUGCCGCAUACGCCCUUCAGGGAAAGCGAGACCGGGCCUCGCACUAUUAGAGCGGCCGAUAUCGGAUUGUAGCUGGUUGGUGGAGUAACGGCUCACCAAGGCGACGAUCCGUAAGCGCUGGUUUGAGAGGACGACCAGCCACACUGGGACUGAGACGGCCCAGACUCCUACGAGGCACAGCAGUGAGGAAUUUUGGACAAUGAAACCUGAUCCAGCCAUCCCGCGUGUGCGAUGAAGGCCUUCAGGUUGUAAAGCACUUUUGGCAGAAAAAACGGCACGGGAUAAUACCCCGUGCAACUGACGGUACCUGCAGAAUAAGCACCGGCUAACUACGUGCCAGCAGCCGCGUGUACGUAGGGGUGCAAGCGUUAAUCGGAAUUACUGGGCGUAAAGCGUGCGCAGGCGGUUCGGAAAGAAAGAUGUGAAAUCCCAGAGCUUAACUUUGGAACUGCGUUUUUAACUACCGAGCUAGAAGAGAGUGUGUCAGAGGAGGUGGAAUUCCGCGUGUAGCAGUGAAAUGCGUAGAUAUGCGGAGGAACACCGAUGGCGAAGGCAGCCUCCUGGGAUAACACUGACGCUCAUGCACGAAAGCGUUGGGGAGCAAACGGGAUUAGAUACCCUGGUAGUCCACGCCCUAAACGAUGUCAACUAGCUGUUGGGGCCUUCAGGCCUUGGUAGCGCAGCUAACGCGUGAAGUUGACCGCCUGGGAAGUACGGUCGCAAGAUUAAAACUCAAAGGAAUUGACGGGGACACUGGCGGUGGAUGAUGUGGAUUAAUUCGAUGCAACGCGAAAAACCUUACCUACCCUUGACAUGUCUGGAAUCGAAGAGAUUUACGGGGUGCUCGCAAGAGAACCGGAACACAGGUGCUGCAUGGCUGUCGUCAGCUCGUGUCGUGAGAUGUUGGGUUAAGUCCCGCAACGAGCGCAACCCUUGUCAUUAGUUUACUGAAAGGAAAGACCUCAGCUGAGACUGCCGGUGACAAACCGGAGGAAGGUGGGGAUGACGUCAAGUCCUCAUAGCCAUAUGGGUAGGAGCUACACGUCGCGUGGUCGGGACAGAGGGUCGCCAACCCGCGAGGGGGAGCCAAUCCCAGAAACCCGAUCGUAGUCCGGAUCGCAGUCUGCAACUCGACUGCGUGAAGUCGGAGAUCGCUAAGUAAUCGCGGAUCAGCAUGUCGCGGUGAAUACGUUCCCGGGUCUUGUACACACCGCCCGUCACACCAUGGGAGUGGGUUUUACCAGAAGUAGUUAGCCUAACCUUAGGAGGGCGAUUACCACGGUAGGAUUCAUGACUGGGGUAGAAGUCGUAACAAGGUAA
Molecule: ribosomal RNA, 1471 nt
Filed under: uncultured Bordetella sp.
Lineage: Bacteria; Pseudomonadati; Pseudomonadota; Betaproteobacteria; Burkholderiales; Alcaligenaceae
Description: partial 16S-23S ribosomal RNA intergenic spacer
Rfam family: Bacterial small subunit ribosomal RNA
Source: RNAcentral